CACUGCCCGGUAGCUAAAUGCGGAAGAGAUAAGUGCUGAAAGCAUCUAAGCACGAAACUUGCCCCGAGAUGAGUUCUCCCUGACUCCUUGAGAGUCCUGAAGGAACGUUGAAGACGACGACGUUGAUAGGCCGGGUGUGUAAGCGCAGCGAUGCGUUGAGCUAACCGGUACUAAUGAACCGUGAGGCUUAACCUUACAACGCCGAAGGUGUUU
This 213-nucleotide ribosomal RNA is filed under the name Escherichia coli. RNAcentral describes it as "partial 23S ribosomal RNA". It matches the Rfam family "Bacterial large subunit ribosomal RNA", at positions 2736 to 2925 of the family's 2925-position model. The record is from RNAcentral. Lineage: Bacteria; Pseudomonadati; Pseudomonadota; Gammaproteobacteria; Enterobacterales; Enterobacteriaceae.